Small nucleolar RNA from Ochotona princeps (American pika), 68 nucleotides. NCBI's taxonomy places the organism in Eukaryota, Metazoa, Chordata, Mammalia, Lagomorpha, Ochotonidae. The record is from Ensembl.
GGAUGAAAUGAUGACAAUCACCUUUGGGGACAAACCUGAAAUGACAGAACACUAGUAGGUGAUGACUU